GACUAUGGCCCUGCCAUCCUGAACAUAUUUGAUCUCAUUUGAUCUCGGAAGCUAUGCAAGAUCAUCUAGCUCUGGCUAGUACUGGAAUGGGAGACCACUUGGGAAAACCGGAUGCUAUAGGCU
Molecule: ribosomal RNA, 123 nt
Filed under: Sarcophilus harrisii (Tasmanian devil)
Lineage: Eukaryota; Metazoa; Chordata; Mammalia; Dasyuromorphia; Dasyuridae
Source: RNAcentral